AGAGAGAGAGAGAGAGAGAACGACGGAAAGAGAGAUAGAGACAGAGAGAGAGAGAGAGAGCUCCGGAAUAAUCAAUGCAGAAAUAAAGCAGUCGACCGAGGUUAGGAAUCGCAGUUUCUCCGGUGAAGCUCGAGCAGUGCCGGUCAGUCGCGAUGGGGAACCGGGGGAUGGAGGACCUGAUCCCGCUGGUCAACCGAAUGCAGGAUGCGUUCUCCGCCAUCGGACAGAACGCGAACCUGGACCUGCCGCAGAUCGCGGUGGUGGGCGGACAGAGCGCCGGGAAGAGCUCCGUGCUCGAGAACUUCGUGGGGAAAGACUUCCUCCCUCGUGGGUCUGGUAUCGUCACGCGGCGUCCGCUCGUCCUGCAGCUCAUCAACUGCCCCACAGAAUAUGCCGAGUUCCUCCACUGCAAGGGGAAGAAGUUCACGGACUUCGACGAGGUUCGUCAGGAGAUCGAGGCGGAGACGGAUCGGAUCACGGGACAGAAUAAGGGCAUCUCUCCCGUACCCAUAAACCUGCGCGUCUACUCUCCCAACGUGCUGAACCUGACUCUGGUGGAUCUUCCGGGGAUGACUAAAGUGCCGGUGGGAGAUCAGCCGGCGGACAUCGAGCACCAGAUCAAAGACAUGCUGAUGCAGUUUGUGACCAAAGACAACUGUCUGCUGCUGGCCGUGUCUCCCGCCAACUCUGACCUCGCCAACUCUGACGCCCUGAAGAUCGCCAAAGAAGUCGACCCGCAGGGUUUGAGGACGAUCGGUGUGAUCACUAAACUGGAUCUCAUGGAUGAAGGGACAGAUGCUCGAGAUAUCCUGGAGAACAAGCUGCUGCCGCUGAGGAGGGGCUACAUCGGUGUGGUGAACCGCAGUCAGAAAGACAUCGACGGGAAGAAGGACAUUAACGCAGCGAUGGCGGCCGAGAGGAAGUUUUUUCUGUCUCAUCCCAGCUACAGACACCUGGCUGACCGCAUGGGAACGCCGUUCCUGCAGAAAACCCUCAACCAGCAACUGACCAAUCACAUCCGUGACACGCUCCCCGGGCUCCGUGCUAAACUUCAGAGCCAGCUGCUGUCCAUCGAGAAGGAGGUGGAGGAAUACAAGAACUUCCGUCCCGACGAUCCGUCCCGGAAGACCAAGGCGCUGCUGCAGAUGGUGCAGCAGUUCUCGGUGGACUUCGAGAAGCGCAUCGAGGGCUCUGGAGAUCAGAUAGACACCUAUGAGCUGUCUGGAGGAGCCAGAAUCAACCGCAUCUUCCACGAGCGCUUCCCCUUCGAGCUGGUGAAGAUGGAGUUUGACGAGAAGGAGCUGCGCAAGGAGAUCAGCUACGCCAUCAAGAACAUCCACGGCAUCAGGACGGGCCUGUUCACCCCCGACCUGGCCUUCGAGGCCAUAGUGAAAAAGCAGAUCCAAAAGCUAAACGGGCCGUGCCUGAAAUGUAUAGAUAUGGUCGUGAGCGAGCUCACCUCCACCAUUCGCAAAUGUAGUGAGAAGCUGGCCCAGUAUCCCAUGCUGAGAGAAGAGAUGGAGAGGAUCGUCACGCAGCACAUCCGAGACCGCGAGAGUCGCACUAAAAACCAGGUGCUGCUGCUGAUCGACAUCGAGCUGGCGUAUAUGAACACCAACCAUGAAGACUUCAUCGGGUUUGCCAAUGCCCAGCAGAGGAGCAGUCAGAUGAACAAGAAGAAGGCGGCCGGCAAUCAGGAUGAAAUCAUGGUGAUCAGGAAGGGCUGGCUGACCAUCAAUAACAUCGGCAUCAUGAAGGGAGGCGCUAAAGAGUACUGGUUUGUCCUGACGGCCGAGUCUCUGUCCUGGUACAAAGACGACGAGGAGAAAGAGAAGAAGUACAUGCUGCAGGUGGACAAUCUGAAGUUUAGAGAUGUGGAGAAGGGCUUCAUGUCCAGCAAACACAUCUUUGCCCUGUUCAACACCGAGCAAAGGAACGUGUAUAAGGACUACCGUCAGCUGGAGCUGGCCUGUGAGAGUCAGGAGGAGGUGGACGGAUGGAAAGCGUCGUUCCUGCGGGCCGGCGUCUAUCCCGAGCGCGUGGUGGAGAAGGAAAAGAGCGACGCCGGAGACGAGAACGGCUCGGACGGGUUCAUGCACUCCAUGGACCCUCAGCUGGAGAGGCAGGUGGAGACCAUCAGAAACCUGGUGGACUCUUACAUGAGCAUCGUCAACAAGACUGUGCGAGACCUGAUGCCCAAGACCAUCAUGCACCUGAUGAUCAAUAAUACGAAGGAGUUCAUCAACGCGGAGCUGCUGGCUCAGCUGUACUCGUGUGGAGAUCAGAACACGCUGAUGGAGGAGUCGGCGGAGCAGGCCCAGCGGCGCGACGAGAUGCUGCGGAUGUACCACGCUCUCAAAGAAGCGCUGAACAUCAUCGGAGACAUCAGCACCACCACCGUCUCCACCUCUCUGCCUCCGCCCGUGGACGACUCGUGGCUCCAGGUGCAGCGCACCGGCUCCGGAGGAAGGUCUCCGGCGACCAGCCCGACCCCUCAGAGACGGGCCCCUCCUCCGGGGCCUCCGGCACGCCCAGGUUCCCGCGGCUCGGCCCCGGGGCCCCCUGCUGCCGGAGGGCCGCCCGUUCCCUCUCGCCCGGGGGCCUCCCCGGACCCCUUCGGUGGGCCCCCCCCUCAGGUCCCGUCUCGGCCGAACCGCGCUCCUCCCAGCGUGCCCAGCCGCGGAAUGUGAGCCUCUGAGCGCCGGAGUAAGUGCAGUGGUGUGGAAUUACAAUCAGUGACCAAUGAGGACUAACGCUUCUGUGGUCCCUGAGCUCACGGGCCAGAAGACGACACCAAACUCCCCGAAGGCCGGUAAAACACAGACGGCCCCUCUCGCCCCGAGAGCCCCUUUUCUCCACGCGACCCUUAGCAUUGUUUUCUUCUUCUGUUCCUCCUCACAUCGAGCAAAAGAACCCAAACCCACCAGCACUACAGAAACAACACGAACGACGAGGAACCCAGAGUCCUUCCAGAUGUUUCCUGCAUCCUCGGUUUCUUCAGCCUUCUGUGACGCUCCGAUAUCAAAAGCGUCAAACCUUCCAGAAGCUCCUUACAUUGUGAUCAUUAACCCCCUCCCAACCUGUACAAGUUUCCCUACGAACACGUAAAGAAAAUAUCCCGCAGAACCAAACGAUUUCGGGUCCCAUCGACUUCCAGAGUGGACAAACAAACUGAAAGUCAAUGGGACCCAUUUGCUCCCCAGCAUUCUUCAGAGUAUCUACCAUUUAUUCCCCAGACUGCAAACGAUCAUUAUUUAUGUCUCUUUGUCUAGUUAAAAAGAUGUUUAGCUCCUGGGAAACCUGAAAAAAAACGCUCUCAGGUACGAGGACGUGUGUUCACCUUCAGCGCUCAAAUCAUUCGUUCGUCGAUUCGAGAAUUGAAUUAGAGAGUGCAGCGUCUUCAGUUCAAGUCAUUUUAAACGCAGUGGCACGGUUUUAGGGUGAAUAGACGUCCUGGAGUUCGGUGAGACGCUCGUGUGUUUAUCUUGGAUUUAAUAAAGCGCUAGAGAGAAUGCUGAAGACUGUCCGGACGGAUGAUCUCGGGAGGGUUUGCCUCACACAGGCUGUGUUUGGAAUCGAAUACUCUCUGUACAGUACAUACUGUACACUGCUUACUAUUCUCAACAAAUAGCAUGCAAAACCCGACUCAUUGCACGUUUAAUUCAGCGAUUUUUUUGCAUUUAAUUUGGGUAUUCCUCUAGAUCAUCUGCACUCAUAGCGUCCAUGCAGACAUGGUAGCAGUAGUAUGAUAUUCUGAACAUGGCCACGUGAUUAAAGGUGCAGUAAGAUUGGAUUUUUUUCCCCCUGGGACGUUUAAAAUAAUUCAAAGCACCAUUUUUCACCAGUGUGUGGACGAACCGCUCCUGUGCAUUGAAAUUAUGCAAGUCAGAUUUUCCUCUCGUUUAAGGUUCGUUACGAUCUAGCAAAAAAAAAAAAAAAGGAAAAGAAAAGUUCCAUAUCAUCAUAUACGUUAUAUAAAUAUCACCGCUGGUCUAUGCAUAGAAACCAUUCCAGUUUGUUCAGGUGUUGUUUGUGUUUUGUUGAGGAGUAUGAACACAAGCCUCCCCAGCGGUGGACUGUAAUUAUGUCGUUUGUUGUAAUACUUAUGAAGAUAAUAAAGCCCCUGUUGCUGAUAGUUGACGUUGUGGCAUGACCGGACCGUUUCAUCUGUACCACACACCAGUAGCACGUUUCCGUCUUCGACACCCGCACCGGACCUUCCCACAAUCCACUCUGUGAGUCUUAGUAAAACCCACGAACCGGAAAAGAUUUCCCGUUAUUUAAGAGUUUGUCCCGGGCAUACCGUAUCUCGAGUGUGUCGCGUAUCUUUGUGGUGCAUUUAUGCAAAUUGUGCUUCCACCGUUUAGACUAGACCGCCAUGUAUGAUUACUGAAUAUUAAAUUAUUAUGGGUAAGUGAUUAAUUUAAACGAAGCUUGCGUGCGGAGGAAUAAACCGGGCCUCUUUCUGUGUUUGGACAGAAAGGUGUAACACAGUGUAACAGGUGAAUGAAUGAAUGCGUGUCAUCAUUAAAGUUCAGUGUAACAACA
Molecule: RNA transcript, 4548 nt
Organism: Puntigrus tetrazona (Sumatra barb)
Lineage: Eukaryota; Metazoa; Chordata; Actinopteri; Cypriniformes; Cyprinidae
Gene: dnm1a
Gene name: dynamin 1a
Exons: 25
Source: RefSeq, a predicted model, not a curated record